RNAcentral lists this ribosomal RNA (468 nucleotides) under uncultured bacterium. RNAcentral's name for it is "partial 16S ribosomal RNA". It matches the Rfam family "Bacterial small subunit ribosomal RNA", at positions 28 to 507 of the family's 1533-position model. The record is from RNAcentral.
GACGAACGCUGGCGGCGUGCUUAACACAUGCAAGUCGAACGGAAAGGCCCUGCUUUUGUUGCGUUCUCGAGUGCCGAACGGGGGAGUAAAACGUGAGUAUACUGCCCUUGACUGUCGGAUAACUUCAGGAAACUGGGGCUAUUAUCGGAUAGGAGCUACUGCAGCGCGGUGGGGGUUGGAAAGAUUCGGCGGUUGGGGAUGGAUUGGCGGGUUAUCAGCUAGAUGGUGGGGUAGUGGCGUACGAGGGCUAUGAAGGCUAGGCGGCCUGGGAGGGUGACCGGGCACAAUGGGACUAAGAUACGGCGCAGACGGGUACGGUAGGCAGCGGUGGGGAGUAUGGCACAAUGGGCGGGAGCCUGAUGCAGCAAUGCCGCGUGCGGGAUGACGGGCUUCGGGUUGUAAACAGCUGUCGACUGUGACGAAGCGUGAGUGACGGUAAUGGGUAAAGAAGCACCGGCUAACUACGUG